RNAcentral lists this non-coding RNA (79 nucleotides) under Endozoicomonas montiporae CL-33. The record is from RNAcentral. Lineage: Bacteria; Pseudomonadati; Pseudomonadota; Gammaproteobacteria; Oceanospirillales; Endozoicomonadaceae.
GUUCCUGCAAAAUCAGGAACCCGGACUCUCACCCCGGUAUUCUCAAAGGCGCAGCAGUCGCCAGCAGAGCGGCUUUUUU